GACGGUGCCAACGAGUCUGACCUUCUGGCCCGAAAGGGUUGGGCAAACUGGUCAAUCACCGUCAUGACAGGGAUCGGGGCUUGGAAUUGUUCCCCGUGAACGAGGAAUUCCUAGUAAGUGCAAGUCAUAAGCUUGCGCUGAUUACGUCCCUGCCCUUUGUACACACCGCCCGUCGCUACUACCGAUUGAAUGGUUUAGUAAGGUCCUCGGAUUGGCGCCAUUGCAGUAUCAGCCGCAAGGUUGGUGCUCGACAGGUGCCGAGAAGACGACCAAAC
Molecule: ribosomal RNA, 275 nt
Filed under: Dibothriocephalus latus
Lineage: Eukaryota; Metazoa; Platyhelminthes; Cestoda; Diphyllobothriidea; Diphyllobothriidae
Description: partial 18S ribosomal RNA
Rfam family: Eukaryotic small subunit ribosomal RNA
Source: RNAcentral